RNAcentral lists this ribosomal RNA (381 nucleotides) under uncultured bacterium. RNAcentral's name for it is "bacterial SSU rRNA". It matches the Rfam family "Bacterial small subunit ribosomal RNA", at positions 29 to 410 of the family's 1533-position model. The record is from RNAcentral.
AUUGAACGCUGGCGGCGUGCCUAACACAUGCAAGUCGAGCGGUAACAGGUGUAGCAAUACAUGCUGACGAGCGGCGAACGGGUGAGUAAUGCUUCGGAAUCUACCCAAUGGUGGGGAAUAACCAGCCGAAAGGUUGGCUAAUACCGCAUACGUCCCACGGGAGAAAGCAGGGGAUCGCAAGACCUUGCGCCAAUGGAUGAGCCGAAGUCGGAUUAGCUAGUUGGAGGGUAACGGCCUACCAAGGCGACGAUCCGUAGCUGGUCUGAGAGGACGACCAGCCACACUGGGACUGAGACACGGCCCAGACUCCUACGGGAGGCAGCAGUGGGGAAUAUUGGACAAUGGGGGAAACCCUGAUCCAGCGAUGCCGCGUGUGUGAAG